RNAcentral lists this ribosomal RNA (491 nucleotides) under uncultured bacterium. Its description in RNAcentral is "partial 16S ribosomal RNA". It matches the Rfam family "Bacterial small subunit ribosomal RNA", at positions 29 to 506 of the family's 1533-position model. The record is from RNAcentral.
AGUGAACGCUGGCGGUAGGCCUAACACAUGCAAGUCGAACGGCAGCACAGUAAGAGCUUGCUCUUACGGGUGGCGAGUGGCGGACGGGUGAGGAAUACAUCGGAAUCUACUUUUUCGUGGGGGAUAACGUAGGGAAACUUACGCUAAUACCGCAUACGACCUACGGGUGAAAGCAGGGGAUCUUCGGACCUUGCGCGAUUGAAUGAGCCGAUGUCGGAUUAGCUAGUUGGCGGGGUAAAGGCCCACCAAGGCGACGAUCCGUAGCUGGUCUGAGAGGAUGAUAAGCCACACUGGACCGGAGACACGGUCCAGCCUCCUACGGGAGGAAGAGUUGGGGAAUAUUGGACAAUGGGGGCAACCUGGAUCCAGCCAUACCGGGGGGGUGAAGAAGGCCUUCGGGUUGUAAAGCCCUUUUGUUGGGAAAAAAAAGCAGCAGGUUAAUACCCCGCUGUUCUGACGGUACCCAAAGAAUAAGCACCGGCUAACUUCGU